UCCGUAGGGUGAACCUGCGGAAGGAUCGAUUACUGAGUGAGGGCCCUCUGGGUCCAACCUCCCACCCGUGUUUAUUGUACCUUGUUGCUUCGGUGCGCCCGCCUCACGGCCGCCGGGGGGCUUCUGCCCCCGGGUCCGCGCGCACCGGAGACACUAUUGAACUCUGUCUGAAGAUUGCAGUCUGAGCAUAAACUAAAUAAGUUAAAACUUUCAACAACGGAUCUCUUGGUUCCGGCAUCGAUGAAGAACGCAGCGAAAUGCGAUAACUAAUGUGAAUUGCAGAAUUCAGUGAAUCAUCGAGUCUUUGAACGCACAUUGCGCCCCCUGGUAUUCCGGGGGGCAUGCCUGUCCGAGCGUCAUUGCUGCCCUCAAGCACGGCUUGUGUGUUGGGCUCCGUCCCCCCGGGGACGGGUCCGAAAGGCAGCGGCGGCACCGAGUCCGGUCCUCGAGCGUAUGGGGCUUUGUCACCCGCUCUGUAGGCCCGGCCGGCGCCAGCCGACAACCAAUCAUCC
RNAcentral lists this ribosomal RNA (512 nucleotides) under Penicillium sp. GBPI_P65. RNAcentral's name for it is "eukaryotic LSU rRNA". The stretch from base 206 to 359 matches the Rfam family "5.8S ribosomal RNA". Lineage: Eukaryota; Fungi; Ascomycota; Eurotiomycetes; Eurotiales; Aspergillaceae. The record is from RNAcentral.